RNAcentral lists this ribosomal RNA (232 nucleotides) under uncultured bacterium. Its description in RNAcentral is "partial 16S ribosomal RNA". It matches the Rfam family "Bacterial small subunit ribosomal RNA", at positions 96 to 334 of the family's 1533-position model. The record is from RNAcentral.
UGGCAGACGGGUGAGUAACACGUGGGAACGUACCCUUCGGUUCGGAACAACUCUGGGAAACUGGAGCUAAUACCGGAUACGCCCUUGGCCUCUGGCCCUGGGGAAAGGUUUACUGCCGAAGGAUCGGCCCGCGUCUGAUUAGCUAGUUGGUGUGGUAACGGCGCACCAAGGCGACGAUCAGUAGCUGGUCUGAGAGGAUGAUCAGCCACAUUGGGACUGAGACACGGCCCAA